AUUGAACGCUGGCGGGAUGCUUAACACAUGCAAGUCGAACGGCAGCGCGUACUUCGGUCUGGCUGCGAGUGGCGAACGGGUGAGUAAUGUAUCUUAACUUGCCCACUAGCUGUUGGUAACUACUCGAAAACGUAGCUAAUACCGCAUACGCCCUACGGCGGAAAGCUGGGGGUCGUAAGACCUUGCACUCUUUGCGAUGCCGUUAUCGGAUUUGCUAGUUGGUGGGGUAACGGCUCACCAAGGCGACGAUCCGUAGUUGGUUUGAGAGGACGAUCAGCCACACUGGGACUGAGACACGGCCCAGACUCCUACGGGAGGCAGCAGUGGGGAAUUUUGGACAAUGGGGGCAAGCCUGAUCCAGCCAUACCGCGUGUGUGAUGAAGGCCUUCGGGUUGUAAAGCACUUUUGGCAGGAAAGAAACGUAGCGGGCUAAUACCACGUGGAACUGACGGUACCUGCAGAAUAAGCACCGGCUAACUACGUG
RNAcentral lists this ribosomal RNA (484 nucleotides) under uncultured bacterium. Its description in RNAcentral is "partial 16S ribosomal RNA". It matches the Rfam family "Bacterial small subunit ribosomal RNA", at positions 30 to 507 of the family's 1533-position model. The record is from RNAcentral.